GAUGAACGCUGGCGGCGUGCCUAAUACAUGCAAGUCGAGCGAACAGACGAGGAGCUUGCUCCUCUGACGUUAGCGGCGGACGGGUGAGUAACACGUGGAUAACCUACCUAUAAGACUGGGAUAACUUCGGGAAACCGGAGCUAAUACCGGAUAAUAUAUUGAACCGCAUGGUUCAAUAGUGAAAGACGGUUUUGCUGUCACUUAUAGAUGGAUCCGCGCCGCAUUAGCUAGUUGGUAAGGUAACGGCUUACCAAGGCAACGAUGCGUAGCCGACCUGAGAGGGGGAUCGGCCACACGGAAACUGAGACACGGUCCAGCCUCCAACGGGAGGCAGCAGAAGGAAAUCUUCCGCAAUGGGCGAAAGCCUGACGGAGCAACGCCGCGUGAGUGAUGAGGGUCUUCGGAUCGUAAAACUCUGUUAUUAGGGAAGAACAAAUGUGUAAGUAACGAUGCACGUCUUGACGGUACCAAAUCAGAAAGCCACGGCUAACUACGU
RNAcentral lists this ribosomal RNA (496 nucleotides) under uncultured bacterium. Its description in RNAcentral is "partial 16S ribosomal RNA". It matches the Rfam family "Bacterial small subunit ribosomal RNA", at positions 28 to 506 of the family's 1533-position model. The record is from RNAcentral.